GAGGUCCUACGGGGGGCAGCAGUGAGGAAUAUUGGUCAAUGGGCGGGAGCCUGAACCAGCCAAGCCGCGUGAGGGAAGAAGGUACAGCGUAUCGUAAACCUCUUUUGUCAGGGAACAAAGGCGGGGACUAGUCCCCGGAUGAGGGUACCUGAAGAAAAAGCAUCGGCUAACUCCGUGCCAGCAGCCGCGGUAAUACGGAGGAUGCGAGCGUUAUCCGGAUUUACUGGGUGUAAAGGGUGCGUAGGUGGCAGGGCAAGUCAGAUGUGAAAGCCCGCGGCUCAACCCCGGUACUG
This 293-nucleotide ribosomal RNA is filed under the name uncultured bacterium. Its description in RNAcentral is "partial 16S ribosomal RNA". It matches the Rfam family "Bacterial small subunit ribosomal RNA", at positions 333 to 623 of the family's 1533-position model. The record is from RNAcentral.